Molecule: non-coding RNA, 3697 nt
Organism: Taeniopygia guttata (zebra finch)
Lineage: Eukaryota; Metazoa; Chordata; Aves; Passeriformes; Estrildidae
Source: RefSeq, a predicted model, not a curated record
GGACGCGCUGCCCGUCCCCCGGCAGCCCGGGAAGGGGCAGGGCAGGCGGGCAGGGCAGCGGCAACUUGCCGGUAGGGGGGACAGGAAGGCUCGGGCUGCCGCGGGAGGUGUGCGGGGUGUGUUCGCUUCGCGUCCCCGAGGUUCCCCCAAAUCCUGUCCGUAGUUUAAAAAUCGCUCUCUUGGCAUAAGUGCGCGGAAGCCAGACUCACUUUAUCGCCGCUGACGCUGUCGAAAUCGCUGUGGCUCCAGCAGUAACAACAGCGAGCCCCCUCCCUGCAUCCCUCCCUCCUUCCCUCCCUCCGCCGGGUCACCCGCUCCUCGUGAGAAACCAAAUGCUGAUGUUCCAUUAGCUUCAUCUUCCCCGCUUACGCGAAAGUGAGGAAGACUUGCUAAUUAAUUUACAUACGAGGGAAUGAUGUCUGAAGGAAGGAGAAAACACCCCGUUGCACCUGCUCCGCCGAGACUUGUCAUCUGAAUCCGGAGGAGAGCUAUAAAUCAUGUGAAGUGUUCGCGGUGGAAUCGGCUUCUUCUGAGAUCUGUAGGAUUAUGUAUCCAAAUGCUGAAUUUAUAUUUCCCACUAGGAAAAGACCGAAACCCAGAUGGAGCAACCGAGCAUAUACUAUGAGUUGUUACACAGGAAGCUUUGGCAGAAGAUGUCAGCUUUCAACAAACCAACAUGUAGAAGGGAAGUGUGAUCCCAAGCUGUUCCCAGAGGCACUGCUGUCUGACAGCUAUACAAAAACAGCUCUUGAAUAACUAAAAUGGAGUUUGAUGCCAGAAGGUUCUUACUCAGGGCAGAACUAGCUUUACAGACAAUACUGUGUCAUCCUUGCAUCAUCAUAGAUAGAAUUGGAUUUUUGUACGGGAGUAACAUUUGCGCAAAAGUCUUCAACUGAAAGAAAAAAAGAUAUUGGGACUAAAGCCUGAAAGCUGUCCUUUCCCCUUAACUGCAAGAUCUUUUGCACUCUAUCACCAUGAAAAUUUUAAUUUGUCUAGUAAAAUUAUUCUCAUAAAGGAGAAAAAAAACAAUCUUGCAGGAAAAAAGUAAGAAGCCUUAGUUAAUGUGUAUUAACUUCUGGAAAGAGUUGUUGCCUUUGCAAGUAAAAUCAUGCUGAGUUUUAUGUUGUUAGGAAAGAAUUAAUUCUUCAUCCUUAUUGCAACCAACAGGGAUUCCCAGCUCCUGCUUGUGAAUUAACUGUAAUAUUGACCCUUCAGUGCAAGUCAUGAUGCAGACAGGUGUCAAGAACCAUCUGGCUUGGCCUGACCAUAAAGUCCUCAUUUGUGAAAGUGCUAAUUUCUUUAUCAUUAGAACCUUUGGCUUCAACAGACCUAGACACCUGGGAAUAUUUUGCAUUAGAAAUUUGUAUUAAUCCACAAUCUACCCAGAGAGGAUGUGUGUAUAUAUUUAUAUAUAUGUAAUGAAAAUAUGUGUCCGUUUCAAAAUAAUAUGGAAGUAAUAUAAAUUUAUUUAAAAUACCCUACUGGAGAAUUGGAGAAUUCAAUGAAUUUGUUGCUUGAUUAGUUGUGAAAUUCUCUGUAAUUUACUAAUUUAAGAGUACUUGCCAUCAGUUACGCAGAAUUUCUCUUUUUGUAUAAUUGGAAUCCAAGGUGCGUGUUGUAUGUCAUGGAGAUAUAUGUGCAUAGUCACUAUCUGCAUGAAAUCAGGAGUGCCAUAUUGUGGAUUAAAACUGGGAAGAAUUAAUCUUGCAGACCAGUGACAGUAAGGACUUUUGCUACUCUUGAAUAGUAGCUUCAAUUUUUAACAAUAUUUUUGUAGAUUGCCUAAGGAAGAGAUGAGUUUUUCAUCACUGGAAAUUUUAUAAGAUCAGGUUAUGCAAACAUCUGUCAAGAAUGGUUUCAGUAUACUGAUCAAGCCUUGGGGCUGACUGGCAAACUAAGUGACCUCUUGAGAUCCCUUCCACCUCAGUGUUCUGUGACUCUGUGGCAUUGUGCUAUGACACAUUGUAGAUAUGUAUAUAGAAGUUACCCACUUGGAAAAGUUUAUUUCUACUAUUUAAUCCCACUCAUAUUUCUUAAGGUUCAGGGAUUUAUGCAGACAAGUAGAAAAUAAAGUCCCUAAUUAAUUAUGGAAAUUUUUGCAAUUUUAUCAGAUUAUUAAUUUUGAGAUCUACCUUGAGACUGAAUGGAAGGAAAACAAAAACAAAGCAGCACAGAUGAAAACUUGGAAUUUGCUAAAGCAACCUUUCUUAUUUAAAUGAUGAUAUGUUUAGCAUAUUGUUAGCCUUUGCUUACAGGUGAUAAAAAUCACAUGCUAAUUCAGACUGUUCUGUGCAGUUCAAAAUGUGCAUUAGUAGCCCCUCACUGUCUGUUGUCAACAGGACUGAAAUUGUCCUGGUGAUGCAAUGAGGGUAGAUUUACCUUCAGGACUCUUCAAAACUAUAGAUGCCAGUGUGUAGGAAUCUUUAAAAUCAGUAGGAAUCUUUAAAAUAACCUUAAAAUACAUAGUCCCCCUAUGCUUGGCGAUACCAGUGGAUGACAAUAACAAUGUUCGUGCCUCUGCAGCUACACCUGCAAUUUGUUAUCAACUUCCUAAUCUCAAAAACUGAAAUCCCAAGGGAGGUAUUAAUUAAACUGGAGUUGAAGGAGUAUACUGGAUAGAAAAGGGUAAGGAGGAGAGUACACAAGUGUUACUCUUGAAGUGGUCUGGUCAAAUGGCACAUUAGAUUUGCAUCAGACUAAUCAAGUACUUGACUGUUCUCCCAGAGCCCAGACUAGCUGGCCCUACAGCAGCCCUUUAAACACAGCUUAAUGACAUAGCACUUCUUUUAAAUAUUUAAGUGUGUCAGUUUUGGUGUUCUGCAGAAGGAACUUCAGUUAGGAAACUUUGGAAUGUAAAUGGCUUUGCAGUAGUGAUCUUCAGUCCAUGUUGUAGGUACAGUUAACAUAGCUUAGAUGUUAUAAGAAACACAAUAUGGCUUUUUUGUUAUAAACCAAGCUAAACUUGCUAGAGUUAACUGAAAUUAAAUCUCUUAUGGAAGUGAAGCAGUAGUUUCACUAUUAAAACAGAUUUGAGGUUUCUUGAAUCUUGAACAUUGACUAAUGGUUAUCUUUCAAACUUAAAAACAAUUUGUAUUUGUGCAUAUGCAUCUCAGUGUUUGUUCUUUGUUGUUCAAUUGAAGUAAUUUGUUUUAAUUUAUUUAAUUGGUUUUAUUUUGGGUUCAAUAUUAGAGUUCUUAUUUUUUAAAGUCAACAUUAUUUGAUACUGUUAUUUAAUAUUUCUGUCAUUAAAAUACAUGUCUACUAUUAAACGUCAGCUCUUGAGAAUGUUUUUUAAAUAUUACAAUAUUAUAAAAGACUGAAAGUUUUUGGGUUUUGAAACUGACCCGUUUUUAGACAUUUUUGCAACAUUUGCAGAUUCAGAAUACAAACAGCUACACCAUUUAGAGAACACUCAUUAAAAAUGAAAUAGCAAUUUAGUACAGGAAUAAUUAAGAGGUCAGUGAAAGUCUCUGCAGCCUGGGACUAAAGCAUUGUCUUUAUUUGCCAUAGUACUUAAAAUUUUUCAUCAGUAGGAUUAAAAACUGGUAACAUGAAGGCAACAUAAGCUGUUGUUUACCUCAGAUGGACAUGCAUGGGUAAUUUUGUUAUUCUGAGUAGACAUAUUAAAAUAGUAAGUGCUGAACAUGUAAGCAUAUGUGCAAAUAUCCACUUUCAAAUAAAACAGUGGCAUAAAAUA